Molecule: ribosomal RNA, 573 nt
Filed under: uncultured Ascomycota
Lineage: Eukaryota; Fungi; Ascomycota
Description: eukaryotic LSU rRNA
Rfam family: 5.8S ribosomal RNA (bases 225-377)
Source: RNAcentral
UCCCGGUCAGGAGAGGAAGUAAAAGUGGUAACAAGGUCUCCGUAGGAGGACCAGCGGAGGGAUCAUUACCGAGAAAACUACUCCCAAACCCCGGUGAACAUACAAAUCAUUGCUUCGGCGGGUCUCGCCCCGGCGCCCUCGGGCCCGGAUCCAGGAGUCCGCUAGAGGACCCCAAAUUCCAAUUAAUAUGAGAAUCUUAAGAGUGACACAAGUAAAUGAAUCAAAACUUUCAACAACGGAUCUCUUGGUUAAGGCAUCGAUGAAGAACGCAGCGAAAUGCGAUAAGUAAGGUGAAGGCAGAAUUCCGUGAAUCAUUGAAUCUUUGAACGCACAUUGCGCCCGCCAGUAUUCUGGCGGGCAAAUUUGUUCGAGCGUCAGUUCAACCCUCAAGCCCCCGGAAUCGGUGUUGGGGCUCGGCCCGUCCCCCGUGGCGCGCCGUCCCCGAAAUCCAGUGGCGGUCUCGCGAUAGCCUCUUAUGAGUAGUAGCAAUAUAUCGCACUGGGACUGAGCAAGGCCACGCCGUUAACCCCCCCACUUGGGAAAGGUUGACCUCGGAUCAGGUAGGAAUACCUU